RNAcentral lists this small RNA (28 nucleotides) under Bombyx mori (domestic silkworm). RNAcentral describes it as "ovarian small RNA-33078". Lineage: Eukaryota; Metazoa; Arthropoda; Insecta; Lepidoptera; Bombycidae. The record is from RNAcentral.
UGAUUCUUUGGUCAACGAUUGCAUGGUA